Molecule: ribosomal RNA, 255 nt
Filed under: uncultured bacterium
Lineage: Bacteria
Description: partial 16S ribosomal RNA
Rfam family: Bacterial small subunit ribosomal RNA
Source: RNAcentral
GUCCACGCCGUAAACGAUGGAUACUAGCUGUUCGGGGCAACCUGAGUGGCUAAGCGAAAGUGAUAAGUAUCCCACCUGGGGAGUACGUUCGCAAGAAUGAAACUCAAAGGAAUUGACGGGGGCCCGCACAAGCGGUGGAGCAUGUGGUUUAAUUCGAUGAUACGCGAGGAACCUUACCAAGGCUUAAAUGUAGUCUGACAGGACCGGAAACGGUUUUUUCUUCGGACAGAUUACAAGGUGCUGCAUGGUUGUCGU